ACCGCGAUAGCACAGCUGGUAGAGCUAGUAGAGCAUCUGCCCGGUAUGCGGAGGGUCGCCGGUUCGAUUCCGGCUCGCGGCG
RNAcentral lists this transfer RNA (82 nucleotides) under Fasciola hepatica (liver fluke). RNAcentral describes it as "tRNA-Thr". It matches the Rfam family "tRNA". From Rfam's summary of the family: Transfer RNA (tRNA) molecules are approximately 80 nucleotides in length. Their secondary structure includes four short double-helical elements and three loops (D, anti-codon, and T loops). The record is from RNAcentral. Lineage: Eukaryota; Metazoa; Platyhelminthes; Trematoda; Plagiorchiida; Fasciolidae.